This 400-nucleotide unclassified non-coding RNA is filed under the name uncultured fungus. RNAcentral's name for it is "sequence contains ITS1". The stretch from base 1 to 105 matches the Rfam family "5.8S ribosomal RNA", at positions 50 to 154 of the family's 154-position model. The record is from RNAcentral. Lineage: Eukaryota; Fungi.
AAACUGCGAUAAGUAGCGUGAAUUGCAGACGCUUUGAACGUUAAACUUUCGAACGCACAUUGCGCCGUAGGAGUCCUACCCUACGGCACAUCUGGUUGAGGGUCGUGAUCAAAAACAGCCGUACAGUUGCUGGAUUACAACCAAUUGGCGAAUCAUGAGUUCGGCCCACCCGUACUCGGGCCGUACGUGUUUUGUCAUCAUGCUCUAGAGGAUAGCUUCUAAGCUUCGGCUUGUGGAGACUACCUGCCACAUGGACGGGCUAUCAGCUGAGGCGAUAGAUUCCGGCCUUAGGGUAUCAUGCUCUUAUAUACUCUUCGGCGUCUGGAAUACAGCUGGUUGGUUUCCGUACGUGCUUGGUGAAUUAUUCGCUUUCCCGACCUCAACUCAGGUGUGAUUACCC